GCCUGCCCAGUGACCCUGUUUAACGGCCGCGGUAUCCUAACCGUGCGAAGGUAGCGUAAUCACUUGUUCUCUAAAUGCGGACUAGUAUGAACGGCACCACGAAGGUUAUACUGUCUCCUUUUUCUAAUCAGUGAAACUAACCUCCCCGUGAAGAGGCGGGGAUAAAACUAUAAGACGAGAAGACCCUAUGGAGCUUUAAACAAAAUAGCACUUGCCUUAUAACAUAAAUUCCUGAAUCUUACUCCAAAGCAAUAUGACUAUAAGUUUUUGGUUGGGGUGACCACGGAGCAAAAUCCAACCUCCAUGUUGAAAGAAUUAAACUAAGAAUCACCUUUCUAAGUAUCAGUAUACUGACAUCAAUUGACCCAAUACAUUUGAACAACGAACCAAGUUACCCUAGGGAUAACAGCGCA
RNAcentral lists this ribosomal RNA (413 nucleotides) under Nectophrynoides poyntoni (Poynton's forest toad). Its description in RNAcentral is "partial 16S ribosomal RNA". It matches the Rfam family "Bacterial large subunit ribosomal RNA", at positions 1857 to 2484 of the family's 2925-position model. Lineage: Eukaryota; Metazoa; Chordata; Amphibia; Anura; Bufonidae. The record is from RNAcentral.